UAAAAGAAAAUCAUGCCAAUUGUUUUGAGUACUUGAAAACCCACAGAACACUGACCUGUUCUGCAAUGGGAUACACUGAUUUAUUUGUGUCUUAGCUUUAAAACUAUUUCCUGAUUUUUAUCUUUAUUUUGUAAAAAUAUUAUCAAACCUAUCAUAUUCUAGAAUAGUGGUCUAAAAUUUUAUGGGUUAUAAUAGUGGUUUUGGAUGAUUACUCUGGAAAACUGCAAUAUUUAUACAGGGGAAUAGAACAGGAUGGUUAAGUUACAAUAACUUUCGAAAUUAGCUGCUAAAACUAUUUACAAAAUGCUUUUUUUUUUUUUUCAUUAUUGACUCACUUCAUACAGGCCUGCAGCGCCAUUGUGGUAGGGAAGAUGUGCAUGUAAUAGGAAUUCAUUUUUGCAAGCCGACAUGCACAGUCUGAAAAUAUUUUAUUCAUGCUCCUAGUGCCUUUGGUGUAGGGAUAUACUAUCUCCUCUUGGGAUGAUAACAUAUGUGCUGAUAGAGCUACAGCUCAAUUUGCAGUAAGCUUCCGCCUUCCGAAUGGUUUGCAAUAGGCGACAGUUCCAAGGGAACUAUUUUACCUCACUGCAUGUGCCUUUCAGUCAGCCUCAGUCAGAAUGUGCUGCUGCUGGUAGUGCAGAAAUGAGAAUUUGAGUGGGAGCACUUUAAAGCAGACACAGAGGUAUAAGACAGAUCACAGCUUCUCCUACAGCUGCCAGAAUAAUGUUAUGGUAUGAAACUUUUAGCAUACUGGAAAAAUCAUCUGGGGUAUGUCGAAGGAUUAUCCACUCCCACUUUCUACAUUCUGCACAGCAGUUUGCCUGAAUCAUUUCCUUGGGAAAAAUACAUCUUUCUUCUUCAGUCUCUUCAGACAGUUUAUUACAUGCAAAUACGAGUGAUCAGAAACCAGUCUGUACAUGAUUUGGAUAAUCUGAUAUAUGGAAAUAAUAUCCCCAAAAUCAGAAUGUCAUUU
Molecule: long non-coding RNA, 973 nt
Organism: Chelonia mydas (Green sea turtle)
Lineage: Eukaryota; Metazoa; Chordata; Testudines; Cheloniidae
Exons: 2
Source: RefSeq, a predicted model, not a curated record